GGCCCGUUAGCUCAGUUGGUUAGUGCGUCGUGCUAAUAACGCGAAGGUCGUGGGUUCGAUCCCCCCACGGGCCA
This 74-nucleotide transfer RNA is filed under the name Schistocerca americana (American grasshopper). RNAcentral's name for it is "tRNA-Ile". It matches the Rfam family "tRNA". From Rfam's summary of the family: Transfer RNA (tRNA) molecules are approximately 80 nucleotides in length. Their secondary structure includes four short double-helical elements and three loops (D, anti-codon, and T loops). Lineage: Eukaryota; Metazoa; Arthropoda; Insecta; Orthoptera; Acrididae. The record is from RNAcentral.